GAGGGUAUAGCUCAGUGGUAGAGUGCCUGCUUAGCAUGUACCAAGUCCUGGGUUCAAUCCCCAGUACCUUUG
RNAcentral lists this transfer RNA (72 nucleotides) under Camelus bactrianus (Bactrian camel). It matches the Rfam family "tRNA". From Rfam's summary of the family: Transfer RNA (tRNA) molecules are approximately 80 nucleotides in length. Their secondary structure includes four short double-helical elements and three loops (D, anti-codon, and T loops). The record is from Rfam by way of RNAcentral. RNAcentral also lists the same sequence under 2 other names. Lineage: Eukaryota; Metazoa; Chordata; Mammalia; Artiodactyla; Camelidae.